GACGAACGCUGGCGGCGUGCCUAAUACAUGCAAGUAGAACGCUGAAGGAGGAGCUUGCUCUUCUGGAUGAGUUGCGAACGGGUGAGUAACGCGUAGGUAACCUGCCUGGUAGCGGGGGAUAACUAUUGGAAACGAUAGCUAAUACCGCAUAAGAGUAGAUGUUGCAUGACAUUUACUUAAAAGGUGCAAUUGCAUCACUACCAGAUGGACCUGCGUUGUAUUAGCUAGUUGGUGGGGUAACGGCUUACCAAGGCGACGAUACAUAGCCGACCUGAGAGGGUGAUCGGCCACACUGGGACCGGGACACGGCCCAGACUCCUACGGGAGGCAGCAGUAGGGAAUCUUCGGCAAUGGACGGAAGGCUGAACGAGCCACGCCGCGGGAGUGAAGAAGGGUCUCGGAUCGUAAAGCUCUGUUGUAAGAGAAGAACGAGUGUGAGAGUGGAAAGUUCACACUGUGACGGUAUCUUACCAGAAAGGGACGGCUAACUACGUG
This 495-nucleotide ribosomal RNA is filed under the name uncultured bacterium. RNAcentral's name for it is "partial 16S ribosomal RNA". It matches the Rfam family "Bacterial small subunit ribosomal RNA", at positions 28 to 507 of the family's 1533-position model. The record is from RNAcentral.